UGCCUGCGCGUGCUAUACAUGCAGUCGAGCGGACCAGAGAUUCCGGAGCUUGCUCUGAGUUUGGUCAGCGGCGGACGGGUGAGUAACACGUGGGCAACCUGCCCGCAAGACCGGGAUAACUCCGGGAAACCGGAGCUAAUACCGGAUAACACCGAAGACCGCAUGGUCUUUGGUUGAAAGGCGGCCUUUGGCUGUCACUUGCGGAUGGGCCCGCGGCGCAUUAGCUAGUUGGUGAGGUAACGGCUCACCAAGGCGACGAUGCGUAGCCGGCCUGAGAGGGUGACCGGCCACACUGGGACUGAGACACGGCCCAGACUCCUACGGGAGGCAGCAGUAGGGAAUCUUCCGCAAUGGGCGAAAGCCUGACGGAGCGACGCCGCGUGAGCGAAGAAGGCCUUCGGGUCGUAAAGCUCUGUUGUGAGGGACGAAGGAGCGCCGUUCGAAGAGGGCGGCGCGGUGACGGUACCUCACGAGGAAGCCCCGGCUAACUACGUGCCAGCAGCCGCGGUAAUACGUAGGGGGCGAGCGUUGUCCGGAAUUAUUGGGCGUAAAGCGCGCGC
RNAcentral lists this ribosomal RNA (560 nucleotides) under Geobacillus kaustophilus. Its description in RNAcentral is "bacterial SSU rRNA". It matches the Rfam family "Bacterial small subunit ribosomal RNA", at positions 37 to 572 of the family's 1533-position model. Lineage: Bacteria; Bacillati; Bacillota; Bacilli; Caryophanales; Anoxybacillaceae. The record is from RNAcentral.